UACGGGGGGGGUAAGCGUUGUUCGGAAUUACUGGGCGUAAAGGGCUCGUAGGCGGCCAACUAAGUCAUACGUGAAAUCCCUCAGCUUAACUGGGGAACUGCGUGUGAUACUGGAUGGCUUGGAUUUGGGAGAGGGAUGCGGAAUUCCAGGUGUAGCGGUGAAAUGCGUAGAUAUCGUAAGGAAGACCAGUGGCGAAGGCGGGUCUCUGGACAGUUCCUGACGCUGAGGCACGAAGGUCAGGGGAGCAAACGGG
This 253-nucleotide ribosomal RNA is filed under the name uncultured bacterium. RNAcentral's name for it is "partial 16S ribosomal RNA". It matches the Rfam family "Bacterial small subunit ribosomal RNA", at positions 524 to 776 of the family's 1533-position model. The record is from RNAcentral.